RNAcentral lists this ribosomal RNA (492 nucleotides) under uncultured bacterium. Its description in RNAcentral is "partial 16S ribosomal RNA". It matches the Rfam family "Bacterial small subunit ribosomal RNA", at positions 29 to 507 of the family's 1533-position model. The record is from RNAcentral.
AGUGAACGCUGGCGGUAGGCCUAACACAUGCAAGUCGAACGGCAGCACAGUAAGAGCUUGCUCUUACGGGUGGCGAGUGGCGGACGGGUGAGGAAUACAUCGGAAUCUACUUUUUCGUGGGGGAUAACGUAGGGAAACUUACGCUAAUACCGCAUACGACCUACGGGUGAAAGCAGGGGAUCUUCGGACCUUGCGCGAUUGAAUGAGCCGAUGUCGGAUUAGCUAGUUGGCGGGGUAAAGGCCCACCAAGGCGACGAUCCGUAGCUGGUCUGAGAGGAUGAUAGGCCACACUGGAACUGAGACACGGUCCAGACUACUACGGGAGGCAGCAGUGGGGAAUAUUGGACAAUGGGCGCAAGCCUGAUCCAGCCAUACCGCGUGGGUGAAGAAGGCCUUCGGGUUGUAAAGCCCUUUUGUUGGGAAAGAAAAGCAGCAGGUUAAUACCCCGCUGUUCUGACGGUACCCAAAGAAUAAGCACCGGCUAACUUCGUG